Molecule: unclassified non-coding RNA, 337 nt
Filed under: soil metagenome
Description: partial contains 5.8S ribosomal RNA, internal transcribed spacer 2, and large subunit ribosomal RNA
Rfam family: 5.8S ribosomal RNA (bases 1-120)
Source: RNAcentral
GAUGAAGAACGUAGCGAAAUGCGAUAAGUAGUGUGAAUUGCAGAAUUCAGUGAAUCAUCGAAUCUUUGAACGCACAUUGCGCCCCUUGGUAUUCCAUGGGGCAUGCCUGUUCGAGCGUCAUUUGUACCUUCAAGCUCUGCUUGGUGUUGGGUGUUUGUCUCGCCUCUGCGUGUAGACUCGCCUCAAAACAAUUGGCAGCCGGCGUAUUGAUUUCGGAGCGCAGUACAUCUCGCGCUAUGCACUCAUAACGACGACGUCCAAAAGUACAUUUUUACACUCUUGACCUCGGAUCAGGUAGGGAUACCCGCUGAACUUAAGCAUAUCAAUAAGCGGAGGA